Molecule: unclassified non-coding RNA, 329 nt
Filed under: soil metagenome
Description: partial contains 5.8S ribosomal RNA, internal transcribed spacer 2, and large subunit ribosomal RNA
Rfam family: 5.8S ribosomal RNA (bases 1-120)
Source: RNAcentral
GAUGAAGAACGUAGCGAAAUGCGAUAAGUAGUGUGAAUUGCAGAAUUCAGUGAAUCAUCGAAUCUUUGAACGCACAUUGCGCCCCUUGGUAUCCCGAGGGGCAUGCCUGUUCGAGCGUCAUUUCACCACUCAAGCCUGGCUUGGUGUUGGGCGACGUCCUCUUUGGGGCCGCGCCUCGAAACGCUCGGCGGCGUGGCACCGGCUUUAAGCGUAGCAGAAUCUUUCGCUUUGGAAGUCGGGGCCCCGUCUGCCGGAAGACCUGCUCGCAAGGUUGACCUCGGAUCAGGCAGGGAUACCCGCUGAACUUAAGCAUAUCAAUAAGCGGAGGA